Molecule: ribosomal RNA, 253 nt
Filed under: uncultured bacterium
Lineage: Bacteria
Description: partial 16S ribosomal RNA
Rfam family: Bacterial small subunit ribosomal RNA
Source: RNAcentral
UACGAAGGGGGCUAGCGUUGCUCGGAAUUACUGGGCGUAAAGGGCGCGUAGGCGGCACUGUUAGUCAGGCGUGAAAUUCCUGGGCUCAACCUGGGGACUGCGCUUGAUACGGCAGAGCUUGAGGAUGGAAGAGGGUCGCGGAAUUCCCAGUGUAGAGGUGAAAUUCGUAGAUAUUCGCAAGAACACCAGUGGCGAAGGCGGCUCACUGGCCCGGUACUGACGCUGAGGUGCGAAAGCGUGGGGAGCAAACAGG